This 253-nucleotide ribosomal RNA is filed under the name uncultured bacterium. RNAcentral describes it as "partial 16S ribosomal RNA". It matches the Rfam family "Bacterial small subunit ribosomal RNA", at positions 524 to 776 of the family's 1533-position model. The record is from RNAcentral.
UACGGAGGGUGCAAGCGUUAUCCGGAUUCACUGGGUUUAAAGGGUGUGUAGGCGGGCUAUUAAGUCAGUGGUGAAAUCUCCGGGCUCAACCCGGAAACUGCCAUUGAUACUAUUAGUCUUGAAUAUCGUUGAGGUUGGCGGAAUAUAUCAUGUAGCGGUGAAAUGCAUAGAUAUGAUAUAGAACACCGAUUGCGAAGGCAGCUAACUAAGCGAUGAUUGACGCUGAGGCACGAAAGCGUGGGGAUCAAACAGG